RNAcentral lists this long non-coding RNA (4516 nucleotides) under Panax ginseng (ginseng). Its description in RNAcentral is "long non-coding RNA (PGIN_LNC013099)". Lineage: Eukaryota; Viridiplantae; Streptophyta; Magnoliopsida; Apiales; Araliaceae. The record is from RNAcentral.
CCUGGUAUACAUUCAAGACCUCUGAUGACUCGAGGUUCAUAUAUAAACUAUGAAAGUCAUAUCCACCUCUUUUAAUUAAUCUGCCUGCCUUUCAGAAACAUUGAUAAUCACACUGCAAAAAGUCGUCACUUGGAUAGAGAAUGAUAUACUCGAGGGAUAUUGCUCCUGGAGUAUUUGUAUAGACCUCUUGAUACUAGAGGGACUUUUGAUGCAAAUGCAGAUCAAACUUGAAGUAACUUAAAGAUGUACUUGUCGUAGAAGCCAUAACCCAAUAAUAUGCUUUGAACCAUAAGGGAUUCAACCAAUAGAGAGGAAGCACAAGCGCCAGUUGGAUUCGUAGAGCUUGCCAUACGAAGAGAAUAGUAAACAAAGAAUUCUUAGUCCAUACACUCGUUCCCUUAUGUUAAUUUUUCAUCAUUUUUAGUAACUGAAAGAAAUUACAGCACUCAUAUUGCUCAGUGCACUAACUCCAGAAUUCCAGUGGUUAUAUUUUCUAAUAAAGUAUUCAUCUCUCUCACUACCUCAACAUCUCAUCAUAGUUUUCAUUGUCAUCAACCUAUGCACUUGUGAUAAAUCAAGGGGCUAUAGUUGGAACUCAACAAAAGGAGGAAAUUUCCAAGGAUUCACCUGACGUUGGAAGUGCUGCCAAGGACAUGUUAAAUUCAGACAAUCAUCUAUUGGGGUAACUGCUGGAGAUAUUUUAAAGCAAUAUAUUGUUGGAGACAAUCAUCUAUUGUUGGAACUCAACAAUAGGAACUUAGUCGGCAAAUCUUUUUGAUCGGAUCACUUUAUGCUUGUGGAAAAAAAGGUUUGUGGAAGCUACCAAAUGAUGAAGAGAGCCAGCAGUCAACUUCCAUGAAUUUAUAGUGUGGAUAUUGUCCCACUCGCUUAUUUUGAGUAAAGGCCCUACAUCAACUUAUGCCGGUGAGAAUAAGCAUCACCAUAGGCCUCCUUUCUAUAGAUAAAAUAAAAUACAAUACUAAUCCAUGUCAUUGGUUUGAUAUUUAAUUACUGCACCCUAGAAUGGAAAGUUUCCGGUUACAUGCCCUUACAAGGACUAGGUAUUACAAUAGCAACCCUCAAGCAUGUACACCAGUAACACCAUCACAUGCUAAGUGUGACACAGAAAAUCUCUGAUCUUGGAGUAACAUUAACAUAUCAUCAUUAUGAAUUCCAAUAAAACAAGGAAUUCUAUGGUAUUUCAGCAAAUCAUGAAAUUGGAUCUCUAGAAAAAUCAACUAUAUUUUGCUUCUCCGGCAUAGAGGCUGAUAAUAGCACUCAAUUGCAGCUGUUCAUUAAAUGAAUCUUGGUAGGAAUAUUGAUUCAAAAAUGAAAAUCCUCCUUCAGUUGGUCAUGGACAUCAAAAUUUCCUGCAAUGCAAUAGCAUUUACGAUUAAGAUUAAAUCAGAAGGAUGAACGGCUGAACAGAAAUCUACCAAAUGAGGCUUCCUACAUGUUGCUAGAGACUGGAUGUCCUUAUAAACUACAAGACUGAAUAUAUAAACAUCUCCCGACUGUUAGCAUCCCACUAUAUUCACCAAAAAAAGGAAGAAACAAAGAAUAUAAAAAAUGGGAAGCUAAGUGAAAGAUAUACAUUUUCUAGAACUAAAGAAAUUUGACACUAAGUCAACUGACAACCGUGAGAAAUGCAUCAAAUGGAUUCGUUACUAAAAGAGUUGACGAUGCAGGAAACCUGAUCGUUGGAAUCUACAUGAGCAGAAAAUACAAUUUUAUCAAUGAUUUACCACUCACCAGUUUAAGCAGAUAAACCGACUCUAAUAACUCCAUGCGGUUGAACUUUCAACAUGUCAUAAUAGACAUGUACAAUAAAUAAGAAAGACAUACAACCAACAUCCGCUCCUUCCAUUUAUUUUCCUCUCGCAACACCAAGGCAUAGGUUUCCUGCACUAUUCUUCAAUUCUCCAUUAUCAAGAUCUAGAGUAACUAUAAGCACCUCGUCCAAAGACUAUAUAAUAAAGCUGCCACAGUUUGUGAAGUUUCUAAAGUUGCUGACAGUAAGAAACACAACAGGUUUAAAUUCACACGGAAAAGAGUAUGUUCUAAUUGAAGGGUGUAAAUAUUGAUUGUAUAAAAAUAAAUAUCUUGGAAAGAAUUUUCACUAGAAAAACAGAUAUAUGAUCCAAUUACGUAAAAAUAUCUGUACAUAAUGGAUGGUCUUAUUGCAUCAGAAACUUCACCAAUAACCAGAGGUUUCCGUUUUCAACAUCUUAAAAGUCAUCAGAAAUCCAGUGAAAGUAAUUAGCUUAGGAACUAGUUACUCUGUCACCUGACUUGAAAACAGAUAAAAGUACUAUCGCUUUUAUUUAGAUAAAAUAAGUUUUUAGUGAAAAAGAUAUAAAAAAAAAAAAAUCAUGUGGAGGAUUCCACCCAAAAGAAACUCAAAAGAAAGGCUAAGAAAACAAAUGGAAAAAACUUUCAGGCAUCAGUGAAACAUAUCUGUCAAUCCCUAUAAAGAUCUGACAAAAAAAUUCAAUUAUAAUCUUGCUAAAAGCACAACAUAUCUUAGAAGUCUUGACAAUGAUGCAAAUUUUGGUCCAGGUUGGUGAAGCUAGAGUGUGAAAAUCAGAUAACUCAGGGAUAUCACGGGUUUUCAAAAAUUUACUUGAGGGUAUUCUUGGAAGUUAAGAAAAAUCACUAAUAUGACGGGACAAUCUAUAGUAUAAUAAUCAAUCUGAAAAAGUUGUGGAUUAUGCAUGUUUUAAGUUAAAAAUUCUUAAAAUUACUUCUCUCUAUAAGCUACACCAAACACAACAAUACCAGCUUAUAGUAAGGUAUAAACUAUGAUCCUGUAACCUAGCUGCACCAAACAGGCUUCAUCAACUUGAAAUAAUUUUCUCUCAUCAUCUCGUCUUUAUAAUUCCUAAUAAUCCAUUCCUCCCAGUUUCCUUCUCUUUCAUUGUCAAGAUUUCAUAACAAACUAACAAAAAUAGCAACCCAUAGUGAAAAAUCUCUGUUGCAAGUGAGAUGGAAACAAGUACGGUCAUAAUGACCAACAAAAUAUCUAUUUUGUAGAAGUAAAACAAAGUUAGAUCAAGAAGUGAAUGGCGAUAAGAGAAGAUAAAAAAAAGACAGAAAAGGCAAUAUACUAAUUUAAUAUGCCUCACCUAUAGAAAGUGAAAGUUCUAUGUUUUUACAAAACUAUCUAAACACAACUUACACCCUGUACAAGUUAUUGAUCAUAUUAGAAGGAGGGGGGGAUGUUUAAGACACUACCGUAGUGAUGGAGCAUAUUAAUUCAAAAUGAAUAAUGCAGAGCUAAAGAUGAAUAGUUCGAUCUACGUACUAUACACAAAUUCCUUGAACUUCAUUAUCAAGAAUUGGGUCAUUCUAUCAAGUGCAGAGACCUCCUAGACUCCUAGAAAAUGAAUAUCUGCAUCAUCAUCCAAAUCUCGCACAAACAAUUUUCAUAUGUGCACCAAAACAUAGCAUGUCAUGAAUAGGAAUUUAUAAUAUUAGUUAAAAGAAUACAACUGCAUAAUACAUAAAACAUUGUACAUUAUCAAUAUAUAUUAAACAAGGUAUUAUUAUACCCAAAUCUACAUCCUACAUCUACAUCCUUCUCUCUCUCUCUUUCCUUUUUUUUAAUGACAAGUAAACUGCAUCCUACUCUCUUGGGGUUUCCAAAUCAGCAUGUUCAUGGAGUUGUUGCAAAUAAAGGAAGCCACUGUCAUAGAUACCGGAACAGCAUCAUUUAAUAUCAUCCCAUAAGUGUUCAUAUAUGAUAUAGUCCCAGAUGUGCAAAUGCACCCCAAAGUUGUUAACAUCUCCGUUGAUUGUCCAUGAGAAACCUAAGGCAACAUUCAAACUCUGAAAUUCCAUUUCCCAAAACAAUUAAAAGGAGUUGAAAAGUAAAUUCAUUACUACAAAGGUUCUCUUUCUCUUUCCCUUUUCUAUCCAAAGAAACCAGAGGAAAAAAAAUCAAACCACUGAUAUAUAAAAUAAAACCGAUCAUAAAAGUCCAACCACCAUUACGCUUGUGUAUAAAAUUCAAUAAGAACAUAGAACAGGGUUAUUAAUCUGCACUGAAACAAAAUAAAACAAAAUUUUAAACGAAUCACCCUGAACUAUAAAACAACAAAAAUUGAUGUUAGAUCAAACUUUUUUGGCUGCAAAAAAAUAAAACCAACAAGCAAUAAUACAAUAGAACGGAAAACAUAACAAAAUACAAAAUGAAUCCGGCAGUGACUCAACGAAAUCGAUAAGUAUACAAAGAUACAACUCAAUCGAACCAAUUAAAUCGACAAAUUCAUCGGAAAACUGGGAGAAAUAUGUAUAAUUUUUUGUGCCGGAUAAGCGUACCGUUAGAGGUUGAAUUAAAGGCUGACGACGGCGAGUCAAAUUGAUCAAAGGGAAGAGAAGACGAUGAGAAAGAUAACAGAUGGCUUAAGGAGAGAAGAUUCUGGUUUUCGCAAAGAUAAUUGGGGGAGGAGAGAGAAAGGGAGGAGAUUGUAAUGGAAAGAAAGAAGUUUUGUUUUUUUGAUAUUCCCAACCAACA